GUGGUAUCCCGUUUGUCUUGUUCAGUUCACUCGACGCCUUCACUAACCUCGGACAAUCUAUUCCCUUCCCUCUUUCUAUCUCUAUCUCUCUAUCUCUCUCUUCCGUUGUUUAUUCACAUUCAUAACGUGCGUCACAUUCCCUCUCCGGAGAUAGUUCUGAAUGGCUGACAUGGCAGAGAAGCCGCAGGCAGAGAAGCCGCAGGCAGAGAAGCCGCAGGCAGAGAAGCCGCAGGACCUCAUCAAGCAGCGGCACGUGGAGGCGACGCUGGCGAAGGACAAGGGUCCCGACGCCCGCCUCCUGUCCUGGGCCGUCAAGGACUUCACGCAGAAGGGCGACAACAUGGCCACCUGCGUCACGAGCGUUGAGGUGACUUACUCGCUGGACGCCAAGGACCGCCACGCGUCCUACGUCGUCAAGCUGAAUCCGCAGCGAAAAGUGGAAGCGAUGGGCGACAUGAUAAGCGACAUCCUGGAGAAGGAGAUCAAUUUCUACACGGACAUUUUGCCGGAUCUGAAUUCCGCUUUGGGACGGGCGGGUUUGAGCGGACUGAGGGUCCCCACCUUCCACUUCGCGGAGAGCAACGUCGGCACCGAAAUGAUCUUCUUCGAGGACCUUCGCGCCCGAGGAUUCAAGAUGGCCGACCGGAAGCUGGGCCUGGACGCCGCGCACGCGAACCUCGUCUUCAAGGAGCUGGCAAGGCUUCACGCAGCUUCGGAUGUCCUAAAGAGCAGGUAUGGAGACCCGACCGACCGACACCCGCUCCUCAAGAAAGACUGGAUGACAAGUACGGGAGACGAGCGAGAAUUUCUACAGAAGUUAAUGGCAAACAAUCUGGAUGGGGCAGUGAAGCUACUCAGCAAAAUCGAAGGCUACGAUAACAUCAUGCAAUGGACCAUUCGGAACCAGCAGAGGAACGUGGAUUUAUUCCAAGACCAACUAGCAGCGGAACCUCAGUUUCAGGUCAUUUGUCACGGGGACUGCUGGAACAAUAACUUUAUGUUUAGGUAUGACGACUCGGGAGCGCCCCUGGAGGUGAUGCUGCUCGACCUGCAAGUCACCCGCUUCGCCUCGCUUGCCACUGACCUCAACUACUUCUGCUUCUCGAGCAUAAACGGCUCGAUUAUCGGCAGCAGCGUGCAGGACUUCCUCGCGGCCUACCACACGUCCUUCAGCCAAGUGUCGGAGGCAGCCGGUCACCGCGUCCCGUUCAGCCUCGAGGACCUCAAACACGAGUUCCGAGACAAGCAUAUUUUCGGCCUCCUGAUCAGCCUCAUGGCCAUCCCUUUUAUCGUCAUGAAUUCGGACGAUAUCCCCGAAGCCGACGAUUUCUUCAGUGCCGAAGGUAGUGAGGAAUUUCAGCAGAAGAUCUUGGAUUCCCUGGACUCCAACCCCCUACUGCGACCGCGUUUCUUGUCCGUCCUCGACUACAUGACCAAAGCCGGUGUCGUUGACUAAGUUCUGCGGGAAGGUCCGGUGUAGUCCGGGGUUGCAGGGAAACCCAAAGCCUACGGGCUUUGUGCAAGAACAUAGCCUCUGUAAAACGAAGAAUGAUAGCCGCGUAGUGUUUCGGUCUACUGAAGUUUUUCGUCAACGAUGAACAAGUUUCACUGUUGCUGAAAAAGGCGUAAAUUGGAAGAAGUUAUUACAAAAGGCAAGAUAAUUACGUUUCAACUUCUCGCAAUACUCAACGUGUACAAAGGCCUUCAGUUCAAUGUUGUAUCCCAUUUGUACUGUGAACUUCUGUAAACGCUGUGUGAAAAAAAUAUUAGCAUAAAAUUAGUUAUUAAGAUGUUGACUGUAUGUUUUCCUUACAAUUAUUCUCCACAAUAUAUUUAGCUUUAGAUCCUCCGUGGCUGUACAUUUGACGAUGUCUGUAUCCAAAGACAAUCACUGUAAAUAUUUAUCUGAUUUAGGGGCACAAACUAACCUGAGCACUGACAUUUCCAUGAAUUCUGUCACUGUGAAGAAUAUUGACAUUAGUGUUAAAAACGAUGCAGAGCAUAAGGACAAUAUCAAUAAAAUGAUUUCAGUCUGCUGUAA
Molecule: unclassified non-coding RNA, 2041 nt
Filed under: Penaeus monodon (black tiger shrimp)
Lineage: Eukaryota; Metazoa; Arthropoda; Malacostraca; Decapoda; Penaeidae
Description: uncharacterized LOC119599433, transcript variant X1
Source: RNAcentral